AGUCGAGCGGUAGGCCUUUCGGGGUACACGAGCGGCGAACGGGUGAGUACACGUGGGUGAUCUGCCCUGCACUUCGGGAUAAGCCUGGGAAACUGGGUCUAAUACCGGAUAUGACCUCCUAUCGCAUGGUGGGUGGUGGAAAGAUUUAUCGGUGCAGGAUGGGCCCGCGGCCUAUCAGCUUGUUGGUGGGGUAAUGGCCUACCAAGGCGACGACGGGUAGCCGACCUGAGAGGGUGACCGGCCACACUGGGACUGAGACACGGCCCAGACUCCUACGGGAGGCAGCAGUGGGGAAUAUUGCACAAUGGGCGAAAGCCUGAUGCAGCGACGCCGCGUGAGGGAUGACGGCCUUCGGGUUGUAAACCUCUUUCAGCAGGGACGAAGCGCAAGUGACGGUACCUGCAGAAGAAGCACCGGCUAACUACGUGCCAGCAGCCGCGGUAAUACGUAGGGUGCAAGCGUUAUCCGGAAUUAUUGGGCGUAAAGAGCUCGUAGGCGGUUUGUCGCGUCUGCUGUGAAAACUGGGGGCUCAACCCCCAGCCUGCAGUGGGUACGGGCAGACUAGAGUGCGGUAGGGGAGAUUGGAAUUCCUGGUGUAGCGGUGGAAUGCGCAGAUAUCAGGAGGAACACCGGUGGCGAAGGCGGGUCUCUGGGCAGUAACUGACGCUGAGGAACGAAAGCGUGGGUAGCGAACAGGAUUAGAUACCCUGGUA
This 713-nucleotide ribosomal RNA is filed under the name Rhodococcus sp. 3AGIII. Its description in RNAcentral is "bacterial SSU rRNA". It matches the Rfam family "Bacterial small subunit ribosomal RNA", at positions 60 to 792 of the family's 1533-position model. The record is from RNAcentral. Lineage: Bacteria; Bacillati; Actinomycetota; Actinomycetes; Mycobacteriales; Nocardiaceae.